Molecule: long non-coding RNA, 4063 nt
Organism: Leopardus geoffroyi (Geoffroy's cat)
Lineage: Eukaryota; Metazoa; Chordata; Mammalia; Carnivora; Felidae
Exons: 6
Source: RefSeq, a predicted model, not a curated record
CGCGAGUCCGGCAGGGUGCGAAGGGACGCCGCGCGCCGAGACCAUUGCGCAUGCGCGCGGGGGCCCGUGAGCCCUUGCGAGCCGCGGCACCGGGGACCCCAGGACCCCAGGCCGGGGCUGAGGGCGCUUUCGACCCACACGGAAUGGAAACGCGCGCGUUCGCUGCGAUUUGACACUUGCUUUGAAGGGAAGACCUUGGUUUUCCUUCCUCGUUCCUAAACCGGUAAAACCGCCCUACUGGAAUGACUCCUAGAGAUCAUCUCGGCCAACCACCUGGUUUCUAUUAAUGAAGCGACUAAGAAGACGGGAGGUGACGGAGGUGGGGCGCAGAGGCCAGGGGUGGUUAGCGGGAGUAGACUUUGGAUUCGAGGGAACGGGGUUUGACCUGUGUGAACAUGGGCACGUAACUGGGUUUCCUUGCGCUUUAGUUUUCCGCAGCUCCCUCACAGGGUUGUGGGUCAUAGGACCCACCUCCUCAAUUUGUUUGGAAAAGCAUGAAGGGGUGCCUGGGUGGCUCAGUGGCUUGAGCACUGGACUCUUGAUUUUGGCUCAGGUCAUGAUCCCCGCGUUUUGUGAUCAAGCCCCAAGCCUGCUUAGGAUUCUUUCUCUCCCUCUGCCCCUCUCCCCUGCUCUCUCUCUCUCUCCCCUCUCUCUCAAAUAACAAAAUAACAUGAAAACACUAGCAAAGAGAGCCGAGCACACAGAAAGUGUUCAAUAAGUGCUAGCUUAAAGUCUGGUAAUGCCAGAGUCCAGGGCUCUUGCCGCCGCGGCUCACUCUCAACAGCUCACCUAUUUGGGGCGGCCCAUUGUGAGUGAGCUGUUGGAGAAGGUCAGGGAUUCCUCCGACCUCACACCUAGUCUGGUUUUGAGCUAAUGCCACAGGUGUCAGAGUUUGCGGAGGGGAGAGGCGGGUGGGAGGCAGGCUCAAAUGCCUCAGCCCUGUCCCACCUCCGUCUUGCCGCCACCGGGCUCUCUUGACCAAGAAAAGAGUCCACAUUCUUAGGAGAGAGGAAUAAAAUGAGAGGAAUAAUUAGCCUGAGCUUCCAGUGAUAAGAGGGCACUUGGCAGGUGUUCUUGAUGAUUCUCUUCAGCUUUCCUCCCCUUUCUCAACUUGUCCUGUUUUUUCGUUUGAGGGAGAGAGAGCAAGAGCGAGAGCGCAAGCACCAGCAGGGGAGAGGGGCGGAGGGAGAGAGUGCGAGCGAGCAAGAGACGCCUAAGCAGGCUCCACAUUUCAGGGCGUAGGCUGUUGAGGGGCCUGAUCUAGGACCCUGAGAUCGUGACCCGAGCCAGAAUCAAGAGCCGGAAGCUCAGCCGGCUGAGCCACCCGGCCGCCCCUCAACUUGUACUUUUAUAACUAAUGAAAGUUCUCUUUACAACUCCGAAUUGUGUGUGUGUGUGGGGGGGGGGGGGGUGCCGAGAGACAUUCUCUGCAUUAAAAAAUAAGUACUGGGGAUGCCUGGGUGGUGCAGUCGGUUGAGCGACCGACUUCGGCUCAGGUCAUGAUCUCACGGUGUGUGAGUUUGAGCCCCCCAUGGGCCUUGCUGUUGUCAGCGCAGAGCCCGCUUGGGAUCCUCUCAGCCCCUCUCUCUCUGCCCCUCCCCCACUCCCGCUCUCAAAAAUAAACAUUAAAAAAAUAAUGAAAAUAAACACUUGCACCUUUCCUUUUUCCUGCAUUGGUGCCUGAUGAAGAAUUUAGAGUAAAACUAGUCGCUGCUGUCCAAAGGGGUUGCUUUUAAAUCAGUCCUUAGAAUUGAACACCAGGUGGUUUCAACAGAGCCUGAGUUGGCUCCAGUGAUUCUGGCAAUGACAAGAGAUGGUGAAAAUCACCACAACUAUUUAGGAAGAAAAGCUUCAGCACAAGAUCUCAGUUGCCUUGGGGCAGUCCUGUGUGGGCACCAGCAGCUGCUGAGUUCUUUGGGCAGCUAUCAGAGGCCUGCCUGCCCUUUAAGCCUCAACAGAACAAGAGGGGUUUCUACAGAGAGCCAAAGCUGGGGCAGUCAGGAAGAAAAUGGCAGUGAAGACAACUGUUCUGGAGGGGCACUUGGGACUUCACAAAACCAUUUGGGAGAAAAUAAGGAAGUUUGGCUUUCCUGCAGAAUGAAUGGAAGCAGAGCCAACCAAUUACUCUUUCGCAACUGUUGUUGCAGUCCUUUAUUUACUGUGAAGGACGCUGUUGCCUGAAAAACAGGUCUGCAAACUAAGAGGACUUAUUGCUAAGGUAUCUGUGAAGCUCUUUAAAAUCUGUUAAAUAUAAAAAUUUAUAAAAUAUGCACACACACACACACACACACACACACACACACGCGCACUCCCCAAAUGCAAUUUAACUACCUGAGUCAGAGUGUUGUUAUUUUUUUUAAUAUGAAAGUUAAAACUAAGUACACAGAUGCCAGAAGUCCCUUUCAUUACACCUCAUCUAUUAGAAAUAUAAACCUCAACCAACUUGUUUUUCAACUUCUUUUUGUCGUUAAUGAUGGGACUGGUGAUUUUGAAUGUAUGCCUAAAUUUUUGUUUUUGAAUUUAACUGGACAAAUCUGAUUCUUGCCAGGUUUAUCAACUCUUUGAGUUCUAGUUACGGAGCUACCUCUUUCUGAAUUUCACUCCACCUAACUUCCUUUUUACUGUUCCAUUUCUGAUGUUCAACUGGCUAUUUCAUCUUUACUCAACCUUUCUUACAGUGUGUACUAUGACUGGCUCUUUUAUGUUAAAAGUGAGAUUUGCAUUUUUUAGUAGGAUAACUCUUCCCUUAUCUCUAGAUGCAGAACAAAAUCUAAAUGGAUCUGUCAAGAGACACCCUAGCCCCAGAACAAGACUUGUUCAAUGAAGGUUAUGGACAGAAUGACUAAUAGGCUUUUUAUCACCAUGGAGUCUUCAUUCAACAAGUAUUUAUUGAGCAUUAGUUAGGUGCCAGCCAGUACACUAGGCACUGUAAUAAUAAGUACUAUCUCUUUACUCUUGGUGCUUAAGCUAUUGAGAAAGACAGUAUUAAACAAUGUUUAAGUAUUAUGCAUAUUAAGAUAGGGGAAUAUUCAGCUGUCAUCUGUACAGUUAUGGUUUUUCAUCUUUUAGGUGGGGGAAGUCAUAGACUCCUUGCAUUUGAUCAAUGUCAUAGACCUUUGCCCUAGAAAACAAACAUACCCUCAAAAUCUUGCCAAUAAUUUCAAGUUAUUCAUGUGUCCUUUUGAAGCCUUUCCAUGCACUCUGGGUUUAGGAUUCCUACCAUAAAUGAAAAACACUAAAAUCAGAUGAAACCAGAAGAAGCAGGAAUCCUAAAAUAUAUGAAGGGGAAGAGAGACAAAGUGCUGAGGAGUAAGAGCAGCAAGAAUGAAAAAUACGUUUCCACAGAUUUAUUUUAACAUGUGUCAUCCCCAGCCAACAUACAUAAUUAAUGCUUCCUGGAACAAUCCCCUAUGGAGGAACCAAUGCCCCACCAAGUGAACCUUGCCCUCCCAUACAAGAACACUUUAAGAAGCUACCAGCUCCUUCACCUUUAUAGCAACAUGAUGAGUGCCCUGGAUCAAAGUCUUCUGCCGAUCCAUAGACAGGCGACCACAACCAAUAACCAGUUUGCAAAGAAAUGUACGUUUGGGAAGGAGCUGCUGCUUCCCUUCCACAUUUGGUUUUAACUGUGCCUGAAGCAAGAUUCAGUCCUGGAGAAUUUAAAUGACCUUACCUUCCAGCUUUUCCACCAGAGGACGCUGUUCCUGGUCUGCACGUGGUCAUCUUCUUGUAGCUUCACAUGGUGAGGAGAGAGAGGAAGCAAGCCCUAUCUUGUCUCUUCUUAUCUCAGAUGCUUAUGACUGGCUGCCACUGACUGGGAAAGAGAAUCUACACUGGGAAUCCUCUAACAUCAGAGAUUCAGGAGACUGAGAAGUCCAAGACCAAGGUGCUGGCUGACUUUGCUCAUAGUGAAGACCCUGUUCCUGGUCUGCACAUGGUCGUCUUCUCCUUGUAGCUUCACAUGGUGAGGAGAGAGAGGAAGCAAGCUCUCUCUUAUCUCUUCUUAUAAAGACGCUCAUCUUAAAGAAGAUGUGAUAUUACUUGGCAAUCAAAAAGAAUGAAA